UUUAUUGGAGAGUUUGAUCCUGGCUCAGGAUGAACGCUGGCGGCGUGCCUAAUACAUGCAAGUCGAGCGAAUGGAUUAAGAGCUUGCUCUUAUGAAGUUAGCGGCGGACGGGUGAGUAACACGUGGGUAACCUGCCCAUAAGACUGGGAUAACUCCGGGAAACCGGGGCUAAUACCGGAUAAUAUUUUGAACUGCAUGGUUCGAAAUUGAAAGGUGGCUUCGGCUGUCACUUAUGGAUGGACCCGCGUCGCAUUAGCUAGUUGGUGAGGUAACGGCUCACCAAGGCAACGAUGCGUAGCCGACCUGAGAGGGUGAUCGGCCACACUGGGACUGAGACACGGCCCAGACUCCUACGGGAGGCAGCAGUAGGGAAUCUUCCGCAAUGGACGAAAGUCUGACGGAGCAACGCCGCGUGAGUGAUGAAGGCUUUCGGGUCGUAAAACUCUGUUGUUAGGGAAGAACAAGUGCUAGUUGAAUAAGCUGGCACCUUGA
Molecule: ribosomal RNA, 492 nt
Filed under: Bacillus cereus
Lineage: Bacteria; Bacillati; Bacillota; Bacilli; Caryophanales; Bacillaceae
Description: bacterial SSU rRNA
Rfam family: Bacterial small subunit ribosomal RNA
Source: RNAcentral